GCCAGGCAUGGUGGCGGGUGCCUGUAAUCCCAGCUACUCCGGAGGCUGAGGCAGGGGAAUCACUUGAACCUGGGGGGCGGAGGUUGCAGUGAGCUGUGAUCAUGCCACUGUACUCUAGCCUGGGCGACAGAGUGAGACCCUGUCUCAA
Molecule: non-coding RNA, 148 nt
Filed under: Nomascus leucogenys (northern white-cheeked gibbon)
Lineage: Eukaryota; Metazoa; Chordata; Mammalia; Primates; Hylobatidae
Source: Rfam by way of RNAcentral